RNAcentral lists this ribosomal RNA (365 nucleotides) under uncultured eukaryote. Its description in RNAcentral is "partial 18S ribosomal RNA". It matches the Rfam family "Eukaryotic small subunit ribosomal RNA", at positions 592 to 976 of the family's 1831-position model. The record is from RNAcentral.
CAAUAGCGUAUAUUUAAGUUGUUGCAGUUAAAAAGCUCGUAGUCGGAUUUUGGCUGAGAACGAUCGGUCCGCCGUUAGGUGUGCACUGAUUGGUCUCAACUUCCUGGUGAGGAGGUGUGCUUCACGGCCACUUAGUCACCGUGGUUACUUUGAAAAAAUUAGAGUGUUCAAAGCGGGCUUACGCUUGAAUAUAUUAGCAUGGAAUAACACCAUAGGACUCCUGUCCUAUUUCGUUGGUCUCGGGACGGGAGUAAUGAUUAAGAGGAACAGUUGGGGGCAUUCGUAUUUCAUUGUCAGAGGUGAAAUUCUUGGAUUUAUGAAAGACGAACUUCUGCGAAAGCAUUUGCCAAGGAUGUUUUCAUUGA